Rhopalosiphum padi (bird cherry-oat aphid) is the source of this 1436-nucleotide long non-coding RNA. RefSeq lists it as uncharacterized. The record is from RefSeq and is a predicted model, not a curated record. NCBI's taxonomy places the organism in Eukaryota, Metazoa, Arthropoda, Insecta, Hemiptera, Aphididae. The transcript is spliced from 4 exons.
UCUUGAUCGUACGACGUGAAUACGCGAUAACUUACGGAAAUUUAAUUUUUUUUUUUUUAAUAUGGAAUUUGUUAAAUCUAACAAAGGUGGCUUAAAAAUUUGUUGGAAUGGGUAUAUACGUACAUAAUGAAACACCAGGGCCAAACGCGAUUAACGUGGAGAUGCACAAAGGAAUGCUCUUUGAAAUAUCGCGGCACAAUGUACACAGACUUGCAGGAGAAAUGUAAUCCACAAAUUGGAAAAGUUCAUAGUCUAUAGCUGAUACACAUGAAGUUUAGUACGACUUUUGUCAUUUUUCUUGUGACAUAUCGCCACAUAGAGGUAAAGUAUCGCCAUGUGAAGGUGAAGCAUCAGCACAUAGAGGUGAGGCAUCGCCACAUGGAGUUGACAUAUAUUAUUAUACUGGCAUGUAAUAUAUAUGUUCAUAAUCGAUGUCUAAUUGUCUCUGGACAUCUAUUAAGCUGCAUUGUUUUGUCUCUGGUACAAACCACCACACAAAUAAUGCACCACAAAGGCAUAACACAAAGUGAAACAAGAAGACAUAUUCAAUUCCGAAAAACUUGAUAAUUUCGUAUGGAAAGCGUGAGCUGAUCAGCUGAAAUCUAAGAAUCAAAUUCUGACAUAAAAUACAAAUUUGUUACUAACUUAAACGAUUCCUAAUGUGAUGGAUACCAUUUUAGGGUCAACAUCAAUGUCGGUAAUUUUCAUUUUAUGAAACAUGUACGGUACCAUUACAUUUAUUCCAUACAUUUGAUGGACAACAUGUAUCCGACACCGACCAACAGUGCUUUUCAGUUUUCGAUCCGCACAGUAACUCAAUGCGUCCAAUAUAUGCCACGAGUUUCGUCGAUAUGUGUUACGAUACCUCAGAACUUUGGGUACGAAAUUUCGCCAACGUAUGCAGGUACGAUAGUGGACAUAGUGCCUGAACCGAUGCCGAGUAAUAAUCUACCGGUGACCAUUAACUCCGUCGAUGUGACUGGAAAAGUAACGAUACACAAACCGCCGAUCAAAACAGCAUCGAAAAAUGCCAUGCCCAGUCAGCUGUCAAAACUCAAAACGCCUCCAGACGGGCCCUGAGAGUAAUGCACCAAUCACGACACCAGCUACGAAUAAGAAAGGCGAAAGCGAGCACCGGAAAUCGGUGAUGAGAAAAUCUAUGAUCCUGUCUGCAGGAUUAGAGAAGACCAUUCCAUUUGCCGGAUUAUUAUACCGAUAGCCAUCGCUACUGAUAAUACUGAAAACGUAUACCUAGGUUAUUAGUUUACAACAAUAUAAUAAAACACCGAUUACAAUGAUGUUAUAAAAAAAAUAUUCGUAUUUUUGUUUGAUUAUCAUUAAAAAAUUAUUAUUUAGUAUCGUAUCAUCAUAGAUCAUAGUUAUGAUUUUAUGAAUAAUAAAAGCGAUAUAAUCUAUGAAGAAGCGAUUUUCGAGGA